RNAcentral lists this small nuclear RNA (328 nucleotides) under Anolis carolinensis (green anole). RNAcentral's name for it is "7SK RNA". It matches the Rfam family "7SK RNA". From Rfam's summary of the family: 7SK was discovered as an abundant small nuclear RNA in the mid-70s but a possible function has only recently been suggested. Two independent studies have found that 7SK RNA binds the CDK9/cyclin T complex (known as elongation factor P-TEFb). P-TEFb activates transcription by phosphorylating the C-terminal domain of RNA polymerase II. Lineage: Eukaryota; Metazoa; Chordata; Lepidosauria; Squamata; Anolidae. The record is from Rfam by way of RNAcentral.
AUGUGAGGGUGAUCUGGCUGCGACAUUUGUCACCCCAUUGAUCGCCAGGGUUGAUUUGGCUAAGCUGGCUGACUAGGCAGGUAUCCCCUUCCUCCCUCACCACUCCAUGUGCAUCCCUCCUGAAGCUGCAUGUUCGGUGGAAGAGGAUGACUUCCCAGGUAUAGAAGGAGAGUACUGACGUCUCCAGUCUUCAGUCCCAAGUAUGCGAUAGCUGCGCUUCCCUGCUAGAACCUCCAAACAAGCUCAAAGCCUGUGGGGCUUGCUGUGCAACCCCAAGCCACAAUCUUCAAAUACUAUUUAAUUAAAAAAAUAGUUAAACCUAGAUAGU